Mustela erminea (ermine) is the source of this 3001-nucleotide long non-coding RNA. RefSeq lists it as uncharacterized. Lineage: Eukaryota; Metazoa; Chordata; Mammalia; Carnivora; Mustelidae. The transcript has 3 exons. The record is from RefSeq and is a predicted model, not a curated record.
GGCGGGGACGCUCUGCGGCCCGCGGCCGGGCCCGCCCAAGCCUUAUAGGCGCGGCGCGCGCGGGGGCCGGGCCAAAGCGGCGGCGGCGGAAACGCGUCCCGGAUGGGGACGAGCUCCGGGCGCAGCCUAAAUUUAGCCGCGGUAUAUAAGCCGGCGGGCGGCGGCGGCCGUGGCCACUGCGGCCGCCAGGGCUCUGCGCAGCCUGGCCGGCCCCCUGCGCACGGCCAGGCCGCGCCCCCCUCCUGGGCCCGCCCCCGCCUGUCUCCCCGGCGACGCGUCAACACGCGCUCCACAACAGCACCGUGACACCCAGGGAUCCCCGGGGCGCCCCGUGGGCUCCCGCCUGCUCGAGGACCUGGAGCGGAGGCGGCAUCCGGGGACCCGGGACUCUGAGUGGAGCACUGGGUCCCCCGGCCGCCAGGGAUCCCUGAUGUAUGGGGAGAAUGGUCCCCAACGCCUCAGAGGGGUUCCCAGAAUCCCUGGUGAUGGAGGAGAUUGCCCCAUAGUUUCAAAGGGGUUUCUAGAAUCCUAGAUCGAUGGGUGGGGUUCCCGGGACCCCUGAUGCAGGGGGGAUUGGGGUCCCCAGGAUUCAUAAUGGGUGGGGAAACUUUCAUUUUCUCUCAUUUCAUCUCAUGUCAUCAAAACUCUUGUUUUCCGGGGGCCCGCUAAGCUAAGCCUGACCCACUGUUAUGCCCAUCGCUAUGUAAAAAACCUUGUGCGAUGCCCUUAACAAAUGUUAAGUCCUUGAGACCAGGGCUCUCUUAAGGAAGCCCUCCAGGGAAACUGAGGCCCAAGGGGCUCUGGGAGAGGCUUGCCGUCCUUUACUGACUUGCAGAAGUGUAGAAGCUGAAGACAAGGGUGACAGUCUCUCCUCCAAGACAGACCCAGCGCUGGGCGGGAGCAGGGGGUGGCUGCGGGGGACAGGGAACAAGCUUGUCCGGUGGGCAUGUUGAAUAUACCACCUGGGUUGCUCGCGGCACAGCCUUGCCAGCAAAGGACUGUCACUACCAUUGUUACUGUGUGCUGGCCCUGUGUAGGCCGGGAGAGCACAGGACCAAGAACCAGACAAAUCUGCCUGCUCUUGGGGGCUUUUCCUAGGGGGUAUAAAAUAAACAAGUAUAUUGGGGAGAUGAACCUUUUGGAAACAUAAAGCAGGGUGUGCAAGAUACAGCGCGGAGGGGACUAGGAAGCAAGUGAGUGAGUGGGGAGAGAGGGGAUGGUGAAAAGUUGAACCUCACCUCACCCAGUGCUAUUAUGAGUCAAGACCUGGAGAAAGGGGGAGCCACGUGAGUCCUAGAGGGAGAGCAUCUCAUGGUGUAACCCAGAGCUGGGAUCCAGCUUUGGUCUCGACUCCAGAGUCUGUGUUCUGGACCUGGAGGCAUCCAGGGUCUUCCUCUGUCCCGUGGCCAGAUGUUGACGGGUUCAGGAAGCUCUUGACCGGGACACCUUCUCUGGGGCCAGGAAGGCUUUGCCACGGACAGCAGCUGGACUACCACAGCCCAGGACCACUGCAUGGAGGUGGCCUUGGCACCACACAGGCAUCAAGGGGCCCCGCUGGGGUCCACAAUGCUGGACCCUCCCAGCUAGAAGGCACCUCAGAGGCGCAUCACCUCACCAUGAAUCACCCAACUGUGGGUUCAGCAAACGCACUGAUGAGCCCCAUUUGUCAGGCGCCGGGGAUCCGGGGGUGCUGGAGGGGGCAGGGGUCCUCCCUACAGCUUCCCUGGGCUUUGGGAAACUUCACCUGGAAUUCAGACGUGCCUCUUGCGGCUGCCACCGCAACGACGGAGAGUCAGCCUCAGCCACAGACUGCUGGCUGUGUGACCUUGGGCAAGUGGUUUUGCCUCUCUGGGCUUGCUUCUUCAUCUGUAAAACAGAUGAUACUGGUAGCUUACCCCACAGUGGUUCUGUGCGUGCGUGUGUGCGUGUGUGUAUGUAAGUGCUGGUGACAUCCCGUGAGCCCUCUACAGCUUUUGGUUAAAUGAGCCACCUGUAUACUUUUCUCACUACUUUCACCUGAACCUCUGUUUCCCCAUAGGAUAAUGAGGCAAAGAUGAAGGGAAUCGAAUUUGGUCCCCAGGCAUAUGAUUCUCUGGUCCUCCUCUCUGCCUCGGACGGCCCCUGUGGCUCCUUCCAGCGCAUUCUUCCUCCUUUCUUGGAUUCCUUGCAGGUCCCGGAAGGGACCAAGCCCGUGCUCCCCGCCAGGCCUUUGUACUUGCCGUGUCCUCUACCAAUCUCUGGAUGACGUCUGAUGUGGAGCCCCUUUUCAUUCGCUCAUUUGCCAGCUGUAUAUCUUUGUCAUUGAGAGACAGGGAGCCCCCCAAAGGCAGGGGCCUCCCUCGAUUCAUCUCUGUGUCUCCUAGGCCCAGCUGUGGACCUGGUGUUGAAACAAACAUGACGCGGGGAUGCCGGCCACCCACCGAGGACCUCCCAGGGCAGUGUGAGACACUUGGCAUGGCACCUGGUGAACAGAACCAGCCCCCGGAACCACCAACGAUUGGGAAGAACGUGGACUUCAGUUGCCCCUUUACCUGUGUGACCUUGGACAAGUCAUUGGACCUCUCCGUGCCCUCAGUGUCAUCGGGAGACAGGAGAUGGCACAUGUCAAGAACAUCAGCUGCCUGAUUAUGAACAUGAGUGAGCGAGCCAGAUGGGGGGAUCCCAGGCUGAGGGAGGGACCUGGUACUUGGGAGGAGGGCUCAGAGCAUGGCCCCUCUCAUUCUGCUAUCUAGGCCACACAUUUCGAUGGGAGUGGGUCCCGGUGGCAUCUCAGGUGACAAUGCCUUGGGAGAAAAAGUCAGGUCCCCAGGGUGGCCUCUUCCCAGUUCGGGGACAUACCCUCGGCUGAACUUCACAGCCUCUGAGCAGCCUGUCCCAUCACUUGCUAAGUUGGGGAGAAUGAGGUGUGUCUACAGAAGUUACAUGAUCAGGGGUGCCUGGGUGGCUCAGUGGGUUAAAGCCUCUGCCUUCGGCUCGGGUCAUGAUUCCAGGGUCCUGGUUU